Long non-coding RNA from Bombus terrestris (buff-tailed bumblebee), 1711 nucleotides. RefSeq lists it as uncharacterized. The transcript has 4 exons. NCBI's taxonomy places the organism in Eukaryota, Metazoa, Arthropoda, Insecta, Hymenoptera, Apidae. The record is from RefSeq and is a predicted model, not a curated record.
GUUAGUAGAUAGUGAAUUGUCGUACAUCGUUGACGACUAACGUCAAAUCGAAUACGUAAAAUCGUUUAUUAUAUUAAUCCUUUGCUGUGUUUACAAUUAAGUUUUUUUAUUUAUGUGCUAUCGAAUUUCUUCAGUGAGAUCGUUUAUGAAAUCAUAUUUUGCUCGAACAGGCCGAUUUAAUUUUCUGUUUUCGUGUAGUGCAUUCAUUUUUCGCAUGCAAGAUCACUGUACUGUGUCAAUGUGAAACUUAUACUACAUAUGCUGCAUUUACACUGACGUUCCUUUAUUGGAAGACUGCUUCGUUUUCGAGCGGAUUUAUACCGUGGAGGAAGGAAUAUGUGGCCGCGAUACAUCGAGGCGAUAUAUUAUCGAGAUUGCCAGGAAGCUUGGUACCGUGGCAUCUAUCACCACUGACAUAGAUCCACGACGAUCUUCGUGCAUUAUCGAGCAACGGAACUCUACUUCACGUUUUCUAAAGAGAAUAAUCUGGACAGUGUGCAGCGUGAGUUUGAAGCAAUUGGAUCGUUACUCCUCGCAUCGAGAGAAGCUACAAAAUGAGUGUCAGCGAGGAGCAUUUACGACAAUGUAUACUAUACGAGUUUAAAAAGGGCAGCACAACUAUGGAUAUUGUUAAGAAGUAUACAGAGAACAUGUGCUGAAUGUGAGAAAGUGUCAAAGAUGGUUCUCAAAAUUCCGGAAUGGUGUUUUCGAGCUUGCUGACGAAGCCAGGUCUGGUCGAAGAGUAACCUUCGAUGUCGAAGCAUUGAUAGUUGUAAUUGAAGCAGCACCUCAUUUGACUACCGAGGAAAUAGCAAACAUAGUAGUAGCAGUAGUAUCGUACAUCGAUAUUUACAUCAGAUUGGAGAAGCUUCUAAUGAACGAUCAAAGGUGAUAUUCUAUUUAGCAGAUGAAUAAAUCCAUUCCAAAUUCUAUUCAUCGGAUGAAUGAAUUAUGAAAUGACAGAAAAAGAUGUGUUCAUAACAGUUUCCAGGAAACAGCUUGAAACGAUUUAUACGGACCAUCAACUGCUUUCGAGCGUAUCAUUAAUUUCAAGCAUCAGGAAUUCAACUUUAAUUUAAUGAACGAAGAUCUGCAGGACGCACCAUUAAUUUUACGGAAGCUUCGACAGCAUCCGGAUGCAAAAAAAUAUGACGCUUCCUAUUUGAGCUUCACUUACUCUCACAAGUGAAUGUAGCUUUUAACAUUUGUAACAGACAUUAUAUGUACGUACAGAAAAAUUAGAAGGUAUUUUGUUGGAUCACCACUUUUCUCCUAAUAUAAUUGGCAAACGAUCAAAUACACGAAAGAUGCAGUUUAGGAAAACUUAUUCGACACGUGCUAACUUCCAGAAAGUUAGUUCCUAGUGAGUCGUACUGUGGGUAGACUCUGGUUGAGGCACGACCAGUAGUCAAGUAGCAAAUCGAAUUUAUACUGUCUCAUUGUGAAAGAUUCAUCAAAAAACGUCCCAUCCGCAGUGAUCGUCUAAUGUGAACGGUGUAAAUUCGGCUUUACUGAACUACUAGCCGUAUCCGAGCCAAUCUUAAAGCCUAGAAAACUAAGGUCAGCACUUCGUCACCUAAAUAUCGUAUACAGUGAGAGACAAAAUUAGUUGCUUUAUUGUACCAUAGAAAAUGAAAGUGAGAUAUUUUAUUAUAUAUAUUCAAUACAUUCAACACGAUUAAAUAUAUUCAAAUAUACGUAAAUGUAGAUU